AUGGCCUGGGCUCUGGUCCUCCUCACUCUUCUCACUCAGGAAACAGGGUCUUGGGCCCAAUCUUCCCUGAGUCAGCCAUCUUCAGUGUCUGGGGCUCUGGGACAGACAGUUGCCAUCUCUUGUGUUGGAACCAGCAGUGACAUUGGGAGGUAUAAUUAUGUCUCCUGGUAUCAACAGCUCCCAGGAAUGUCCCUCAAACUCCUGAUUUAUGAUGUCAGUUAUCGGCCAUCAGGGAUCCCUGAUCGCUUCUCUGGCUCCAAGUCUGGCAACACAGCCUCCCUGAUCAUCUCUAGGCUCCAGGCUGAAGAUGAGGCUGAUUAUUACUGUACCUCAUAUAUAGGAUCCUCAAGAGGUAUAGUCAUGUUCAUAGGAGGGUAG
Mustela erminea (ermine) is the source of this 378-nucleotide non-coding RNA. The record is from the annotation of a RefSeq genome assembly. Lineage: Eukaryota; Metazoa; Chordata; Mammalia; Carnivora; Mustelidae.